Non-coding RNA from Phrynosoma platyrhinos (Desert horned lizard), 72 nucleotides. NCBI's taxonomy places the organism in Eukaryota, Metazoa, Chordata, Lepidosauria, Squamata, Phrynosomatidae. The record is from the annotation of a GenBank genome assembly.
GCCAGUGUGGCCUAGUGGUUUGAGUGUUGGGCUCUGGUUCUGGAAACCAGGGUUCAAUUCCCAGCUCAGUCA